RNAcentral lists this ribosomal RNA (468 nucleotides) under uncultured bacterium. RNAcentral's name for it is "partial 16S ribosomal RNA". It matches the Rfam family "Bacterial small subunit ribosomal RNA", at positions 28 to 507 of the family's 1533-position model. The record is from RNAcentral.
GACGAACGCUGGCGGCGUGCUUAACACAUGCAAGUCGAACGGAAAGGCCCUGCUUUUGUGGGGUGCUCGAGUGGCGAACGGGUGAGUAACACGUGAGUAACCUGCCCUUGACUUUGUGAUAACUUCAGGAAACUGGGGCUAAUACCGGAUAGGAGCUCCUGCUGCAUGGUGGGGGUUGGAAAGUUUCGGCGGUUGGGGAUGUACUCGCGGCUUAUCAGCUUGUUGGUGGGGUAGUGGCUUACCAAGGCUUUGACGGGUAGCCGGCCUGAGAGGUUGAACGGCCACAUUGGGACUGAGAGACGGACCAGACUCCUACGGGAGGCAGCAGUGGGGAAUAUUGCACAAUGGGCGGAAGCCUGAUGCAGCAACGCCGCGUGCGGGAUGACGGCCUUCGGGUUGUAAACCGCUUUAGCCUGUGACGAAGCGUGAGUGACGGUAAUGGGUAAAGAAGCACCGGCUAACUACGUG